This 459-nucleotide ribosomal RNA is filed under the name uncultured bacterium. RNAcentral describes it as "partial 16S ribosomal RNA". It matches the Rfam family "Bacterial small subunit ribosomal RNA", at positions 338 to 795 of the family's 1533-position model. The record is from RNAcentral.
CCUACGGGGGGCAGCAGUGAGGAAUAUUGGUCAAUGGCCGGAAGGCUGAACCAGCCAAGCCGCGUGAAGGACGAAGGUGCCAAGCAUUGUAAACUUCUUUUGCCAAGGGACAAAAUCAGGCUCGAGAGCCUGACCGAGGGUACUUGAAGAAAAAGCAUCGCCAAACUCCGUGCCAGCAGCCGCGGUAAUACGGAGGAUGCGAGCGUUAUCCGGAUUUAUUGGGGUUAAAGGGUGCGUAGGCGGACUGUUAAGUCAGCGGUAAAAGCCCGGGGCUAAACCCCGGCGAGCCGUUGAAACUGGCUGUCUGGAGAGGGCGAGAGGAAUGUGGAAUGCGCGGUGUAGCGGUGAAAUGCGUAGAUAUUGGGAAGAACUCCGGUUGCGAAGGCGGCAUACCGGCGGCGAUCUGACGCUGAGGCACGAAAGCGUGGGUAUCGAACAGGAUUAGAUACCCUGGUAGUC